GGCGAACUGGUGAGUAACACGUGGGAAACCUGCCCAGAAUCGGGGGAUAACACCUGGAAACAGAUGCUAAUACCGCAUAACAACUUGGACCGCAUGGUCCGAGUUUGAAAGAUGGCUUCGGCUAUCACUUUUGGAUGGUCCCGCGGCGUAUUAGCUAGAUGGUGGGGUAACGGCUCACCAUGGCAAUGAUACGUAGCCGACCUGAGAGGGUAAUCGGCCACAUUGGGACUGAGACACGGCCCAAACUCCUACGGGAGGCAGCAGUAGGGAAUCUUCCACAAUGGACGAAAGUCUGAUGGAGCAACGCCGCGUGAGUGAAGAAGGGUUUCGGCUCGUAAAACUCUGUUGUUAAAGAAGAACAUAUCUGAGAGUAACUGUUCAGGUAUUGACGGUAUUUAACCAGAAAGCCACGGCUAACUACGUGCCAGCAGCCGCGGUAAUACGUAGGUGGCAAGCGUUGUCCGGAUUUAUUGGGCGUAAAGCGAGCGCAGGCGGUUUUUUAAGUCUGAUGUGAAAGCCUUCGGCUCAACCGAAGAAGUGCAUCGGAAACUGGGAAACUUGAGUGCAGAAGAGGACAGUGGAACUCCAUGUGUAGCGGUGAAAUGCGUAGAUAUAUGGAAGAACACCAGUGGCGAAGGCGGCUGUCUGGUCUGUAACUGACGCUGAGGCUCGAAAGUAUGGGUAGCAAACAGGAUUAGAUACCCUGGUAGUCCAUACCGUAAACGAUGAAUGCUAAGUGUUGGAGGGUUUCCGCCCUUCAGUGCUGCAGCUAACGCAUUAAGCAUUCCGCCUGGGGAGUACGGCCGCAAGGCUGAAACUCAAAGGAAUUGACGGGGGCCCGCACAAGCGGUGGAGCAUGUGGUUUAAUUCGAAGCUACGCGAAGAACCUUACCAGGUCUUGACAUACUAUGCAAAUCUAAGAGAUUAGACGUUCCCUUCGGGGACAUGGAUACAGGUGGUGCAUGGUUGUCGUCAGCUCGUGUCGUGAGAUGUUGGGUUAAGUCCCGCAACGAGCGCAACCCUUAUUAUCAGUUGCCAGCAUUAAGUUGGGCACUCUGGUGAGACUGCCGGUGACAAACCGGAGGAAGGUGGGGAUGACGUCAAAUCAUCAUGCCCCUUAUGACCUGGGCUACACACGUGCUACAAUGGAUGGUACAACGAGUUGCGAACUCGCGAGAGUAAGCUAAUCUCUUAAAGCCAUUCUCAGUUCGGAUUGUAGGCUGCAACUCGCCUACAUGAAGUCGGAAUCGCUAGUAAUCGCGGAUCAGCAUGCCGCGGUGAAUACGUUCCCGGGCCUUGUACACACCGCCCAUCACACCAUGAGAGUUUGUAACACCCAAAGUCGGUGGGGUAACC
Molecule: ribosomal RNA, 1356 nt
Filed under: Lactiplantibacillus plantarum
Lineage: Bacteria; Bacillati; Bacillota; Bacilli; Lactobacillales; Lactobacillaceae
Description: bacterial SSU rRNA
Rfam family: Bacterial small subunit ribosomal RNA
Source: RNAcentral